RNAcentral lists this ribosomal RNA (274 nucleotides) under uncultured bacterium. RNAcentral describes it as "partial 16S ribosomal RNA". It matches the Rfam family "Bacterial small subunit ribosomal RNA", at positions 523 to 796 of the family's 1533-position model. The record is from RNAcentral.
AUACGGAGGGGGCAAGCGUUGUUCGGAAUUACUGGGCGUAAAGCGCGCGUAGGCGGGCUGGUUAGUUGGGGGUGAAAUCCCAGGGCUUAACCCUGGAACUGCCUCCAAUACUGCCAGUCUAGAGUUCGAGAGAGGUGAGUGGAAUUCCUAGUGUAGAGGUGAAAUUCGUAGAUAUUAGGAAGAACACCAGUGGCGAAGGCGGCUCACUGGCUCGAUACUGACGCUGAGGUGCGAAAGCGUGGGGAGCAAACAGGAUUAGAAACCCGAGUAGUCC